RNAcentral lists this unclassified non-coding RNA (219 nucleotides) under Hevea brasiliensis (rubber tree). Lineage: Eukaryota; Viridiplantae; Streptophyta; Magnoliopsida; Malpighiales; Euphorbiaceae. The record is from RNAcentral.
AUCAAGUAAAUGAGAAGAUUUCUGCAAAAAGGAAAACUAAUGACAAACAUAUUCAAGAAAUAAAGCACAAUAAAAGAAAGAGAGAAAUGUAAAGUUUAGUUUCAAACAGUUCUGAUCCAUAUAAUUUUUCAAUUUUCAACUUCCCCCCUCAUUUACCAAGCAAGAGGCUUGCAUAAGGAUCAUUCAAUGUGAUUGCAAAUUAAGAAAAUAUAAAAAGAA